GACGUGUUGAAGGCGGUCGACUUCGCCCGCUGCCGGCGGGCCGACACCGACGCCGCCCUGGUCGUACCCGCGUUCCUGGAGCGCGGAUACCCCU
Molecule: transfer RNA, 94 nt
Filed under: Streptomyces aurantiacus
Lineage: Bacteria; Bacillati; Actinomycetota; Actinomycetes; Kitasatosporales; Streptomycetaceae
Description: tRNA-Gly
Source: RNAcentral